GGUCCCAAGGCUUUGGGUUGGUACAGACUGCGUGAUUCUCAACUAGCUGACCUGUAUUAGUCUCUGUCUGAACUAGUUUUGGGGUUCACAAGCAACCCUGAUAGUCGGCGUAAGACAGGCCUGGGAGCCAAGGCUUAGACU
Molecule: long non-coding RNA, 141 nt
Organism: Ochotona curzoniae (black-lipped pika)
Lineage: Eukaryota; Metazoa; Chordata; Mammalia; Lagomorpha; Ochotonidae
Exons: 4
Source: RefSeq, a predicted model, not a curated record